UACGAAUGGGGCGAGCGUUGUUCGGAAUCACUGGGCGUAAAGCGUACGUAGGCGGAUUAGCAAGUCAGAAGUGAAAUCCCGGGGCUUAACCUCGGAAUUGCUUUUGAAACUGCUAGUCUAGAGGCCCGGAGAGGUCAGCGGAAUUCCGAGUGUAGAGGUGAAAUUCGCAGAUAUUCGGAGGAACACCAGUUGCGUAGGCGGCUGGCUGGACGGGCACUGACGCUGAGGUACGAAAGCGUGGGGAUCAAACAGG
Molecule: ribosomal RNA, 253 nt
Filed under: uncultured bacterium
Lineage: Bacteria
Description: partial 16S ribosomal RNA
Rfam family: Bacterial small subunit ribosomal RNA
Source: RNAcentral